Molecule: ribosomal RNA, 2335 nt
Filed under: Salmonella enterica
Lineage: Bacteria; Pseudomonadati; Pseudomonadota; Gammaproteobacteria; Enterobacterales; Enterobacteriaceae
Also listed under: 1 other name
Description: partial 23S ribosomal RNA
Rfam family: Bacterial large subunit ribosomal RNA
Source: RNAcentral
AGACCCGAAACCCGGUGAUCUAGCCAUGGGCAGGUUGAAGGUUGGGUAACACUAACUGGAGGACCGAACCGACUAAUGUUGAAAAAUUAGCGGAUGACCUGUGGCUGGGGGUGAAAGGCCAAUCAAACCGGGAGAUAGCUGGUUCUCCCCGAAAGCUAUUUAGGUAGCGCCUCGUGAAUUCAUCUCCGGGGGUAGAGCACUGUUUCGGCUAGGGGGCCAUCCCGGCUUACCAACCCGAUGCAAACUGCGAAUACCGGAGAAUGUUAUCACGGGAGACACACGGCGGGUGCUAACGUCCGUCGUGAAGAGGGAAACAACCCAGACCGCCAGCUAAGGUCCCAAAGUCAUGGUUAAGUGGGAAACGAUGUGGGAAGGCCCAGACAGCCAGGAUGUUGGCUUAGAAGCAGCCAUCAUUUAAAGAAAGCGUAAUAGCUCACUGGUCGAGUCGGCCUGCGCGGAAGAUGUAACGGGGCUAAACCAUGCACCGAAGCUGCGGCAGCGAACGUAUCACCCAAGACAACUUUACGGAGUUGACGAUUGACGGAGCGAAGCGACGUCAAAGCGUUCAUUAAAGUCGAGUUGGCUUAGGGAUACGUUCGUUGGGUAGGGGAGCGUUCUGUAAGCCUGUGAAGGUGUGUCGUGAGGCAUGCUGGAGGUAUCAGAAGUGCGAAUGCUGACAUAAGUAACGAUAAAGCGGGUGAAAAGCCCGCUCGCCGGAAGACCAAGGGUUCCUGUCCAACGUUAAUCGGGGCAGGGUGAGUCGACCCCUAAGGCGAGGCCGAAAGGCGUAGUCGAUGGGAAACGGGUUAAUAUUCCCGUACUUGGUGUUACUGCGAAGGGGGGACGGAGAAGGCUAUGUUGGCCGGGCGACGGUUGUCCCGGUUUAAGCGUGUAGGUGUGUGUUCCAGGUAAAUCCGGUUCACUUUAACACUGAGGCGUGACGACGAGGCACUACGGUGCUGAAGCAACAAAUGCCCUGCUUCCAGGAAAAGCCUCUAAGCAUCAGGUAACAUCAAAUCGUACCCCAAACCGACACAGGUGGUCAGGUAGAGAAUACCAAGGCGCUUGAGAGAACUCGGGUGAAGGAACUAGGCAAAAUGGUGCCGUAACUUCGGGAGAAGGCACGCUGACACGUAGGUGAAGUGAUUUACUCAUGGAGCUGAAGUCAGUCGAAGAUACCAGCUGGCUGCAACUGUUUAUUAAAAACACAGCACUGUGCAAACACGAAAGUGGACGUAUACGGUGUGACGCCUGCCCGGUGCCGGAAGGUUAAUUGAUGGGGUCAGCGCAAGCGAAGCUCCUGAUCGAAGCCCCGGUAAACGGCGGCCGUAACUAUAACGGUCCUAAGGUAGCGAAAUUCCUUGUCGGGUAAGUUCCGACCUGCACGAAUGGCGUAAUGAUGGCCAGGCUGUCUCCACCCGAGACUCAGUGAAAUUGAACUCGCUGUGAAGAUGCAGUGUACCCGCGGCAAGACGGAAAGACCCCGUGAACCUUUACUAUAGCUUGACACUGAACAUUGAGCCUUGAUGUGUAGGAUAGGUGGGAGGCUUUGAAGUGUGGACGCCAGUCUGCAUGGAGCCGACCUUGAAAUACCACCCUUUAAUGUUUGAUGUUCUAACGUGGACCCGUAAUCCGGGUUGCGGACAGUGUCUGGUGGGUAGUUUGACUGGGGCGGUCUCCUCCUAAAGAGUAACGGAGGAGCACGAAGGUUGGCUAAUCCUGGUCGGACAUCAGGAGGUUAGUGCAAUGGCAUAAGCCAGCUUGACUGCGAGCGUGACGGCGCGAGCAGGUGCGAAAGCAGGUCAUAGUGAUCCGGUGGUUCUGAAUGGAAGGGCCAUCGCUCAACGGAUAAAAGGUACUCCGGGGAUAACAGGCUGAUACCGCCCAAGAGUUCAUAUCGACGGCGGUGUUUGGCACCUCGAUGUCGGCUCAUCACAUCCUGGGGCUGAAGUAGGUCCCAAGGGUAUGGCUGUUCGCCAUUUAAAGUGGUACGCGAGCUGGGUUUAGAACGUCGUGAGACAGUUCGGUCCCUAUCUGCCGUGGGCGCUGGAGAACUGAGGGGGGCUGCUCCUAGUACGAGAGGACCGGAGUGGACGCAUCACUGGUGUUCGGGUUGUCAUGCCAAUGGCACUGCCCGGUAGCUAAAUGCGGAAGAGAUAAGUGCUGAAAGCAUCUAAGCACGAAACUUGCCCCGAGAUGAGUUCUCCCUGAGACUUUAGGUCUCCUGAAGGAACGUUGAAGACGACGACGUUGAUAGGCCGGGUGUGUAAGCGCAGCGAUGCGUUGAGCUAACCGGUACUAAUGAACCGUGAGGCUUAACCUUACAACGCCGAAG